CUGUGCUAUUCAUCAUACAUAUCAGCUCUCCCAUUUGGGGGGCACAUAGUAGAAUUGUACUCUCUUGCUCCUUUUUGCUUGGGUGGGACCACAGGACUAGUUCUAGCCAAUGAGUUUGAGUGGAAGUCAUAAUUCAUGUUACUUCAGAACUGGAUCAUUUAGUUGCCACUGCGAGAUACUCCACAGCUGUCUCUCUUCUCAGUCAUGUUGCCCUGUUAUCCUGAGUUGUGAGGAUGAUGAUGACACUAGAGCAAAGCUCUAAGCUGAAUGAUCCACAGUGGACAUGUUGUAUGAGGAGUGGCAAAUCAAAGGCAUUGCAGCCUCUUUCAUCACUGCCGAUUGCUGAUGCCAACCAUGUGCCAAGUGCUUAAUACGUCACCUUAAAUCUUCUCAUCCACCCUCAGAGUAGCUGCAGCAUCAACCCAGUGCCCUGACUUUCAAGACGACUAUGAAAACACCCCAACUGCUGCUAAAUUACCAGCAACAAGGAUCUGACAUUCUUAUUCAAAAGAAAGAACACCGAAAUUGACCUUACCCUGACAAUAUGAUGGCUGAAGGAUUUAUGAUCACUUAUAACAUUUGAAAUUGAGGCGGAACCUGAAGAAUAAGACUCUGGUGAAAGGUCCUAUUUAUGCUUUUGAUGUCUUUCACUUGGACAUUUACCACAUGCCUAUUGGUAGGUUUGUUACAUAGGUCAGUUAAGGUGAUACAAGAAUAAAUAAAACACUAUCCCUAUCCUUUAAUAUCAUUUAUUUAUGGGGUCAAUCACAGAUUUUCAUUUUUCAAAAUCUUUGAUAAAUGUCAGAAUUAUGUUUUUUAAUAUUUUUACAGAAUUAUUACAAUAUAUGGUAGAGGAUGGAAGGCAAGGUAGUAUGAAACGGAAAAGAUAUUUUGAAUUAAGGUAUUUGGACCUGGAUUAAUAUUUUUGCUUUGGUCUUUAUUAGCUGAGUGACCUUGAGAAAGUUCUUCUACUAAAAAAGAACAAAGAUAAUAAUUACUUCAUGAAAUUGCUGUAAAAAACACAUAACAAGUAUAUCCAGACUCAACAGUGUAUGCUCAAAAAUGCAGAUCCUUUUUCCCUUACCUGCAAAUAAAGUCUUACAGUAAUACAGUGGGGGUAAAGGUUUAAACUGGUGGAUUCAAGAAGGGCUAUAGAAAGAGGUAGCAUCUUAAUAGGGGAAGGAGAGGAUCCAAGAAAUCAGAUCCAUUUUCUACAAAAAGAAAUGGGAAGACAGAUAAUUCAAGAAGAAAAGUUUACAUGAUUAAAGACCCGAAGUUAGAAAUAGUGAUGUGUCUCAAUAGUAAGUUAGGAAUUGGGGUGGACACAAUUGUUGGAAGAAGGAUGGUUUCAGCAAAGGCCCAAGUUAGGUGACAAUUUCAAGUGUUUGUGAAGAUAUAUGAACAAAAUUAUAAAGUAGUUAGGGUAUAAGAAAUAGGGAGGAGGGAAUGAAUUAACAUUUAUGGAGUGUCUUGCAUGUUCCAAGCACUGUACUACUUGCCUUAUAAACCUUUCUUCAAUAAACGCCUACAACAAUCCUGAGAUGUGGAAUUAUUAGUUCCUCAAUGGACCCAGAGAGUUUCAAUUAUGUGCUUAAGAACACAGAGUUAGUAAAGGACAGAGACAGAAUUCAAAUUAAGCCUAUGUUACUCCACAUCCUAUGCAUUCACUAAACCUCUCAAGAAAACCAAUUUAUUGGACCUUUUAAUCAUUUAAGAAUGAGAUGAUAGGGGGCGGUUCCAAGAUGGCCAAAUAGGAACAGCUCCAGUCUACAGCU
This 1775-nucleotide long non-coding RNA is filed under the name Homo sapiens (human). RNAcentral describes it as "HSALNT0153550". Lineage: Eukaryota; Metazoa; Chordata; Mammalia; Primates; Hominidae. The record is from RNAcentral.